GGAGGGGUGCCGGAGUGGACUAUCGGUGCUGCCUGGAAUGCAGUCGGAUGCGCAAGCGUCGCCAGGGUUCGAAUCCCUGUCCCUCCGCCA
This 90-nucleotide transfer RNA is filed under the name Paraburkholderia caledonica. Its description in RNAcentral is "tRNA-Ser". It matches the Rfam family "tRNA". Rfam says of the family: Transfer RNA (tRNA) molecules are approximately 80 nucleotides in length. Their secondary structure includes four short double-helical elements and three loops (D, anti-codon, and T loops). Further hydrogen bonds mediate the characteristic L-shaped molecular structure. tRNAs have two regions of fundamental functional importance: the anti-codon, which is responsible for specific mRNA codon recognition, and the 3' end, to which the tRNAs corresponding amino acid is attached (by aminoacyl-tRNA synthetases). tRNAs cope with the degeneracy of the genetic code in two manners: having more than one tRNA (with a specific anti-codon) for a particular amino acid; and 'wobble' base-pairing, i.e. permitting non-standard base-pairing at the 3rd anti-codon position. RNAcentral also lists the same sequence under 2 other names. Lineage: Bacteria; Pseudomonadati; Pseudomonadota; Betaproteobacteria; Burkholderiales; Burkholderiaceae. The record is from RNAcentral.